UGCAGUCGAACGGCAGCACGGAGCUUGCUCUGGUGGCGAGUGGCGAACGGGUGAGUAAUGCGUCGGAACGUAUCCAAUAAUGGGGGAUAACGCAGCGAAAGCUGUGCUAAUACCGCAUACGCCCUCCGGGGGAAAGCAGGGGAUCGUAAGACCUUGCGUUAAUGGAGCGGCCGACGUCUGAUUAGCUAGUUGGUAGGGUAAAGGCCUACCAAGGCGACGAUCAGUAGCUGGUCUGAGAGGAUGAUCAGCCACACUGGGACUGAGACACGGCCCAGACUCCUACGGGAGGCAGCAGUGGGGAAUUUUGGACAAUGGGCGCAAGCCUGAUCCAGCCAUUCCGCGUGAGUGAAGAAGGCCUUCGGGUUGUAAAGCUCUUUCAGGAGGGAAGAAACGAUUGUGGCUAAUACCCAUGAUUAAUGACGGUACCUUCAGAAGAAGCACCGGCUAACUACGUGCCAGCAGCCGCGGUAAUACUUAGGGUGCGAGCGUUAAUCGGAAUUACUGGGCGUAAAGCGUGCGCAGGCGGUUUUUCAAGUCUGAUGUGAAAUCCCCGGGCUUAACCUGGGAACUGCGAUGGAAACUGAAAGACUAGAGUGCGGCAGAGGGGGGUAGAAUUCCACGUGUAGCAGUGAAAUGCGUAGAUAUGUGGAGGAAUACCGAUGGCGAAGGCAGCCCCCUGGGUCGACACUGACGCUCAUGCACGAAAGCGUGGGUAGCAAACAGGAUUAGAUACCCUGGUAGUCCACGCCCUAAACGAUGUCAACUAGUUGUUGGGGAGGGAGACCUCCUUAGUAACGCAGCUAACGCGUGAAGUUGACCGCCUGGGGAGUACGGUCGCAAGAUUAAAACUCAAAGGAAUUGACGGGGGCCCGCACAAGCGGUGGAUUAUGUGGAUUAAUUCGAUGCAACGCGAAAAACCUUACCUACCCUUGACAUGUACG
Molecule: ribosomal RNA, 941 nt
Filed under: uncultured bacterium
Lineage: Bacteria
Description: bacterial SSU rRNA
Rfam family: Bacterial small subunit ribosomal RNA
Source: RNAcentral